Non-coding RNA from Rhypophila decipiens, 98 nucleotides. The record is from the annotation of a GenBank genome assembly. Lineage: Eukaryota; Fungi; Ascomycota; Sordariomycetes; Sordariales; Naviculisporaceae.
CUCCUUAUGGUGUAGUUGGCUAUCACGUUCGGCUGUAAUUGCUUCAAACAGAUUGAUAACAAACCGAAAGGUCACCGGCUCGAUUCCAGUCGAGGAGA